GAGAAGAAUGGCUGGAAGUGGUUGAUAGCCCCGGUCUGAAAACCGGUA
Molecule: transfer RNA, 48 nt
Filed under: Anathallis carvalhoi
Lineage: Eukaryota; Viridiplantae; Streptophyta; Magnoliopsida; Asparagales; Orchidaceae
Description: partial tRNA-Ser
Source: RNAcentral